This 467-nucleotide ribosomal RNA is filed under the name uncultured bacterium. RNAcentral's name for it is "partial 16S ribosomal RNA". It matches the Rfam family "Bacterial small subunit ribosomal RNA", at positions 28 to 523 of the family's 1533-position model. The record is from RNAcentral.
GAUGAAUGCUGGCGGCGUGCCUAACACAUGCAAGUCGAGCGGCAGCGCGAGUAGUUUACUACUUGGCGGCGAGCGGCGGACGGCUGAGUAACGCGUGGGAACGUGCCCCAAAGUGAGGAAUAACUGCCCGAAAGGGUGGCUAAUGCCGCGUAUGAUCUUCGGAUUAAAGUCUUCGGACGCUUUGGGAGCGGCCCGCGUCGGAUUAGGUUGUUGGUGAGGUAAUGGCUCACCAAGCCGACGAUCCGUAGCUGGUCUGAGAGGAUGAUCAGCCAGACUGGGACUGAGACACGGCCCGGACUCCUACGGGAGGCAGCAGUGAGGAAUCUUCCACAAUGGGCGAAAGCCUGAUGGAGCAACGCCGCGUGCAGGAUGAAGGCCUUCGGGUCGUAAACUGCUUUUAUAAGUGAAGAAUAUGACGGUAACUUAUGAAUAAGCACCGGCUAACUACGUGCCAGCCGCCGCGGUAA